GACAGAGGGGGCAAGCGUUGCUCGGAAUUACUGGGCGUAAAGGGCGCGUAGGCGGGAUGGCAAGUCGGUCGUGAAAUCCCUCGGCUCAACCGAGGAACGUCGAUCGAUACUGCUGUUCUUGAGGAUUGCAGAGGAGACUGGAAUUCCCGGUGUAGCGGUGAAAUGUGUAGAGAUCGGGAGGAACACCGGUGGCGAAGGCGGGUCUCUGGGCCUUACCCGACGCUGAGGAGCGAAAGCGUGGGGAGCGAACAGG
Molecule: ribosomal RNA, 253 nt
Filed under: uncultured bacterium
Lineage: Bacteria
Description: partial 16S ribosomal RNA
Rfam family: Bacterial small subunit ribosomal RNA
Source: RNAcentral